UGGGGAAUAUUGGACAAUGGGCGCAAGCCUGAUCCAGCCAUGCCGCGUGUGUGAAGAAGGCCUUCGGGUUGUAAAGCACUUUUGUUGGGGAAGAAAUUGUACGGGUGAAUAUCCCGUGCGGAUGACGGUACCCACAGAAUAAGCACCGGCUAACUUCGUGCCAGCAGCCGCGGUAAUACGAAGGGUGCAAGCGUUACUCGGAAUUACUGGGCGUAAAGCGUGCGUAGGCGGUUUGUUAAGUCCGUUGUGAAAGCCCUGGGCUCAACCUGGGAAUUGCAGUGGAUACUGGCAAGCUAGAGUACGGUAGAGGAUGGUGGAAUUCCCGGUGUAGCGGUGAAAUGCGUAGAGAUCGGGAGGAACACCCGUGGCGAAGGCGGCCAUCUGGACCAGUACUGACGCUGAGGCACGAAAGCGUGGGGAGCAAACAGG
This 429-nucleotide ribosomal RNA is filed under the name Bacillota bacterium. RNAcentral's name for it is "Firmicutes bacterium partial 16S ribosomal RNA". It matches the Rfam family "Bacterial small subunit ribosomal RNA", at positions 355 to 776 of the family's 1533-position model. The record is from RNAcentral. Lineage: Bacteria; Bacillati; Bacillota.